UUCCUGGAGGAUUAGUGGUUAGGCCAAAGCGCUCUCACCGCUGCAGCCCGGGUUCAAUUCCCAGCCAGGGAG
RNAcentral lists this transfer RNA (72 nucleotides) under Pangasianodon gigas (Mekong giant catfish). RNAcentral's name for it is "tRNA-Glu". It matches the Rfam family "tRNA". From Rfam's summary of the family: Transfer RNA (tRNA) molecules are approximately 80 nucleotides in length. Their secondary structure includes four short double-helical elements and three loops (D, anti-codon, and T loops). Lineage: Eukaryota; Metazoa; Chordata; Actinopteri; Siluriformes; Pangasiidae. The record is from RNAcentral.